UGCACAAACUUCACACCAAGUUCGUGCCAAAUAUAAAUAUAUUUCAUUUUUAUAAAUAGUUGAUAACAUGAAUACAUUUGUGUGCAAAGCUACUGUAAGCCAAACAGUAUAACAGUUGAAUGUCUGAGGCAAUCACACCACACAUCUCUUGUUGAUAAACAUGUUAGACCCGGGGAUGAAAUUCCCUUGGAAAUGAUCCCUUGUAAUUUACAAAAAACACAUACAAACAAACAUGCGGAUUACUGGCAGCAACUGCUAGAAUCUUAUCUGGACACAACAGUCAUUUCAGAUGUUGAAACUAGUUUUUGAAGUUGCAACGGUAUCAGGAGCACAGCAUUUCAUUGGCCCUGUACUUGUAGUCUAGCCUGGUUAAAACCAGACCAUUUUCAGUAGUAACUGAGUUAUGGUCUGGCAAAGCUUCAAAGACAAAUCAUUUCCAAAGGGGCGUCACCAACGGAAGUCGCUUAAAUGCCUCUGGCGCAAUUGGAUAGACCUAAAACCAAUCAGAGCGAUGAAGGAGAUGACGUAUGCAGAGCUAUAUCAAGUCGGUAAGACAGCGAUAACAUCUUUUUUUUAAGAUAUAAAAGCUUCGAGUGUUGUUCUUUGCUCGGGUUUUAAUGAAAAGAAAAAAGUUUUAAUCGUUUAAAACAGACGCGAUAGCUGAUUUGACCGACUUAUGUUCCAUGGCGGCAUCCAUCUUUGUAAUGUACAAAAUCUGCUUCACCGUCACUGCAUUAUCACCAUUGUGUAAAGCCCACCCCAACGUUUCUGAUUGGUGCCGCAAUUUCGACGGAUUACAAAUGGGCUUGAAUGGCCUCUUUGCCAGACUACUUGCAUAGCAAAUCUAAAUUUGCCGGAAGUUGUCUGGGUUUUCCCAGGCUACUUGUAGUCUGCACAAUGACAAAAAAACGUAAUAUUUCAUACAAUAGUGGCCAAUAGUGAUGUUCAGCUUUGAAAAUAGACAUCUUCACCCUUUAUUUAAACAUUCUAUUAAGGAUGAAGUAAAGAUUUUGUAUGCAUAUUGUGUUGAGCUGAAGCUCAGUUUUGGGAAAAAAUUAAGGAGCUUUACAAGUCAAGGCUCAUAAAAGACGUUUUUUUCGUGCAUUUAUUUGUAUGUUACAAUAAAACCCAUAUAUUAAAGAAGACAUUAAGACUUUUUUAAGAACGAUUAAAAUAAAUCUUUGGUGUCUCCAGAGUACGUAUGUGAAGUUCUAGCUCAAAAUACCAUAUAGAUAAUUAUAGCAUGUUAAAAAAUUGCCACUUUGUAGGUGUGAGCAAAAAUAUGCCGUUUUUCUGUGUCUUUUUAAAUGCAAAUGAGCUGAUCUCUGCACUACAUGGCAGUGCAGUGGAUAAUGCAGAUUAAGGAGCAGUGUUAUCCCCUUCUGACAUCACAAGGGGAGCCAAAUUCAAUGACCUAUUUUUUAACAUGCUUACAGAGAAUGGUUACUGGGUUGUUCUUUAUCACAUUUUCUAGGUUGAUAAAAGCACUGGGGACCCAAUUAUAGCACUUAAACAUGGAAAAAGUCAGAUUUUCAUGAUAUGUCCUCUUUAAAACAAAACCCAUAUCCAUGUGUUUGUACCGCUAUUUCAAAAGAAUGUUGUCAAAAACCUCUACUAAAUAAAAUGUUCUCCAUUUUGUACCAUACAUCUCGUAAUUUGAUGUUUUAAUUGAUCCUGGGGGGUUAUUAAAAGCAAAUAUUACACAGAUAUGCCCUCCGGACAUCACAUUUGGCCACUACUGUAUAAACUAUUCUCGUGUAAAGGACAGCCACAGUAAAUGUAGCAAUAUGGAUGAUUUAUGGUGUUAAUACUCUAUUGUACUUCUGUAUUAAGUUGAAAGGACCGAGGUGCAGAGGUUUUACGAGAACAUGCGCUUGGUGCUGUCCGUGCCUGCCGCAGAACGAGGACGAGACUUUCGCCACUGCGACGCCCACCUACGCCCGAAGGCCUGUGCGCGCGUACCCGCUGAUAUGUCGAGCGGACUCCACCAAUCCGCGUCUCUCCGGAAGGCAGCAGACCAAUCAGCGAACGGACCACAGGAAAUACAUUCCCGUUUUCCGAGUCACGGAGAGAGGAGAAGCGUGACGGAAAGUUUGGAAAAGUGGAUAGAGCAUUUUACACAUUUAAUGAUUUCCAUAAUGCACAUUUGGAAAAAGUUUAUGAAGAUACCUACACCAGUCAAAAAAUGCAAGGUUAUUUGACUGAAAUGUUGAAACGAAUUAAAUGUGAAGGUUUAUGUUAAAAUGUUUGAAAUCCUUUUAGGGACAAAGUGGGUAGUUAUGCCCACCCCUAUAAAUUCCUUUCAUUAGAAAACUUACAUUUUAUUAGAAAAACUUCGGAUGAAGAAAGCUCGUGAUAGAAUAAUGAAAAUUUUUUAAGAUGUCAAAUAAAUCUUUGGUGUCUCCGGAGUACAUAUGUGAAGUUUUAGCUCAAAAUACCAUAUAGAUAAUUUAUUAUAGCAUGUUAAAAUUGCCUCUUUGUAGGUGUGAGCAACAAUGUGUUGUUUUUGGGUGUGUCCUUUUAAAUGCUGAUCUCUGCACUAAAUGGCAGUGCUGUGGUUGGAUAGUGCAGAUUAGGGGCGGUAUUAUCCCCUUCUGACAUCACAAGGGGAGCAAAAAUUUUAAUAUUUUUUCACAUGCUUGCAGAGAAUGGUUUGCCAAAACUAAGUUACUGGGUUGUUCUUUUUCACAUUUUCUAGGUUUAUCGAAGCACUGGGGACCCAAUUUUAUUUAAACAUGGAAAAAGCCAUAAUUUCAUUAUAUGUCCCCUUUAAGAUAAGUUGUAGUAUACCUAAAUAAUAAAGGAAUUUGGGCAAAAAUCAUAUAAUGAUUUUGCAUAAGAUGUACGUUAAAGGUGCAGUGUGUAAUUUUUAGAAGAAUCUCUUGACAGAAAUGCAAAAUAAUAUACAAAACUAAAUUAUCAGGGGUGUAUAAAGACCUUUCAUAAUAACCCAUUACGUGUUUAUUGCCUUAGAAUAAGACGUUUUACCUACAUACACCGAGGGUCCCCUUACAUGGAAGCCGCCAUUUUGUGCAGCCACAUUUCUACAGAAGCCCUUAACGGACAAACUUUUUUACUAAGUUGUCUCCACGAUGACAUGUUUGUCUGGUGGUGGCUACCGUAGCUUUUCUAUGUGUUUUUAAAAGCAAGAGGUGAGCAUUAGACUGAGCCGUUGGUGACAAUUCGCAACCUCACCACUAGAUACCGCUAAAAUUUACACACUGCACCUUUAAGUAACUAGCAGCUGUUCUAGGUCUAGACUGUUAUAUUAUACUGUUACAUUAUCCUCCUCUAGAAGAAAAGGCAGAAGUAAAAGCUUGUAGACAAGAUACCUAUUAACCAUCUGUGACUUUGUCUCGUGUGUGGAGGAGGGGGGGGGACUUUGAUGUGAACCCUGACCCCACAAACUGCAGCAGGCAGUUCAUCUGACUUUUCAGGGUUAAUUGAAUUCCUGAGGUGUGUUCUUCUGUUUGAACUAGUGUAUGUGUGUUUUACGAUCUUAAAAAGGAUAGAUGCUGUGUAGAUGCUAUGUUCAAAUGCCAAAACGUUGAAUUAAAAUCUCUGCUUAA
Long non-coding RNA from Misgurnus anguillicaudatus (oriental weatherfish), 3569 nucleotides. RefSeq lists it as uncharacterized. NCBI's taxonomy places the organism in Eukaryota, Metazoa, Chordata, Actinopteri, Cypriniformes, Cobitidae. The record is from RefSeq and is a predicted model, not a curated record.